UUUUGGACAAUGGGCGCAAGCCUGAUCCAGCCAUGCCGCGUGUGUGAAGAAGGCCUUCGGGUUGUAAAGCACUUUCGGACGGAACGAAAUCGCGCGGACGAACAUUCCGCGUGGAUGACGGUACCGUAAGAAGAAGCACCGGCUAACUACGUGCCAGCAGCCGCGGUAAUACGUAGGGUGCGAGCGUUAAUCGGAAUUACUGGGCGUAAAGGGUGCGCAGGCGGCCCCGCAAGUCAGACGUGAAAUCCCCGAGCUCAACUUGGGAAUGGCGUUUGAAACUACGGGGCUGGAGUGUGGCAGAGGGAGGUGGAAUUCCACGUGUAGCGGUGAAAUGCGUAGAGAUGUGGAGGAACACCAAUGGCGAAGGCAGCCUCCUGGGCCAACACUGACGCUCAUGCACGAAAGCGUGGGGAGCAAACAGG
This 422-nucleotide ribosomal RNA is filed under the name uncultured bacterium. Its description in RNAcentral is "bacterial SSU rRNA". It matches the Rfam family "Bacterial small subunit ribosomal RNA", at positions 362 to 776 of the family's 1533-position model. The record is from RNAcentral.